RNAcentral lists this ribosomal RNA (269 nucleotides) under uncultured bacterium. Its description in RNAcentral is "partial 16S ribosomal RNA". It matches the Rfam family "Bacterial small subunit ribosomal RNA", at positions 565 to 832 of the family's 1533-position model. RNAcentral also lists the same sequence under 1 other name. The record is from RNAcentral.
GAGCACGUAGGUGGGUUUGUAAGUCAGAUGUGAAAGCCUUCUGUUCAACGGAAGAAUUGCAUCUGAAACUGCUAAUCUUGAGUAUAGGAGGGGAGAAUGGAACUUCUGGUGGAGCGGUGAAAUGCGUAGAUAUCAGAAGGAACGCCGGCGGCGAAAGCGAUUCUCUGGCCUAUUACUGACACUCAGUGUGCGAAAGCUAGGGGAGCAAACGGGAUUAGAUACCCCGGUAGUCCUAGCCGUAAACGAUGGGCACUAAGUAGAGGGGUUUU